AUGACUUGUGGCCAUGACGUACGUACAUGGUUUUCCUUGUUCUUAAGUUUUUUUGUCGUAAGCACUACCACCGCCGUCACGUUCAACAUCACCAACCGAUGUUCCUACACCGUGUGGCCGGCGGCUAUGCUACUGGACGAUGACAACUGGCCAGUGGGCGGCGGCGGCAUGCGGCUGGACCAAGGGAAGACAUGGACCCUCAACAUGGCUGAUGACAUCAGUAGCGGGGACAUCUGGGCACGAACAGGCUGCUCAUUCGACAGCAAAGGCAACGGGUCGUGCCAGACAGGUGACUGCGGCGGCCUGCUCGCCUGCAAGAACCGUGGUGAGCCGCCCUUCACAACUGCUGAUUUUGCGCUCAACCAGCAUGGCAGCAACACUUUCUUCGAUAUCUCACUCCGCAACGGCUUCAACGUACCCAUGGAGUUCCUGCCAGUGCCGGACAAGGGGCAAGGACUAGGGUGCAGCAAGGGGCCACGCUGCGUGGCCGACAUCACGUCGCAGUGUCCAAGCAAGCUCAAGGCGCCGGGAGGCUGCAGCAGCUCAUGUCAAGUGUUUAACAAUCAGGUGCACUGCUGCACCGGAUCCCACUGUGAACCCACCAAAUACUCGGCCUUCUUUGUGCGGAUGUGCCCGCAAGCAUUAAGCUUCUCCAACCAUGCUCCCAAAGAAACCGACUUCAGUUGCCCGACAGGAGUCAACUACCAGGUAGUCUUCUGCCCCCCGAUCAAUCUAGCAUCUUCGCCGGCUCCAAGUCCUCCUAAUUCAACUGCUAUUGGGCCAUCAAGCACAGGACCCUCAUCCAAAAAAGUAGACACAGUUGUUUCAAUUGCAAUUACAGGGUCUGUAGUCAGUUUCAUUUUAACUACCGCAUUCAUCCUUUUCGUCGUACAUCGAAGACUGACACGACGAUGCCAUGAGAUGGAGGAAGAGGAGGCAGAGUUCGGUAAGCUGCAAGGAACACCGAUGAGGUUCACGUUUCAACAGUUAGAUGUGGCAACCGAGCAAUUCAAAGACAAGCUUGGGGAAGGAGGAUUUGGGUCUGUUUACAAGGGACGGCUAGGUGAGGAAAGGAUUGCGGUAAAACGUUUGGAUCGAGCUGGACAGGGAAAGAGCGAAUUCUUGGCAGAGGUUCAGACAAUCGGCAGCAUUCAUCAUAUCAAUCUGGUGAGGCUGUUUGGUUUCUGCGCUGAGAAAUCCCAUAAGCUCUUGGUUUAUGAGUAUAUGCCAAAAGGAUCAUUGGACAAGUGGAUCUACUGUAGACAUGACAAUACUGCUCCUCCACUAGAAUGGAAGGUACGAUGCAAGAUUAUUACUAACAUAGCUAAGGGUCUCGCUUAUCUUCAUGAGGAGUGCAUGCAGAGAAUUGCUCAUUUGGAUGUCAAACCACAAAAUAUUCUCAUAGAUGACGACUUCAAUGCUAAAAUUUCUGAUUUUGGUUUGUGCAAGCUCAUAGAUAGGGACAUGAGCCAAGUGGUUACUAGAAUGAGAGGCACACCUGGAUAUUUAGCCCCUGAAUGGUUGACAUCACAUAUCACGGAGAAGGCCGAUGUCUAUAGUUUCGGCGUGGUGGUCAUGGAAAUCGUCAGUGGAAGAAAGAACCUUGACACUUGCCGGUCCGAAGAGAGCAUCCAUCUUAUUACUCUAUUGGAAGAAAAGGUGAAGAACGGUCACUUGGUAGAUUUGAUUGACAAGAACAGUAAUGACAUGCAAGCACACGAGCAGGAUGUAAUCCAGAUGAUGAAGCUAGCAAUGUGGUGCUUGCAGAUCGAUUGCAAAAGAAGGCCUAAAAUGUCCGAGGUAGUGAAGGUCUUGGAAGGUACCAUGGAUGCAGAGAGCAGUAUAGAUCACAACUUUGUUGCAACACACCAAGCGAAUUUUGGCAUUGCUGGAAAUGUGAACUCCUCGGCUCCACCUGUAGCCUCACAUCUAUCAGGCCCCAGGUGA
Molecule: ribosomal RNA, 1947 nt
Filed under: Triticum aestivum (bread wheat)
Lineage: Eukaryota; Viridiplantae; Streptophyta; Magnoliopsida; Poales; Poaceae
Description: partial small subunit ribosomal RNA
Source: RNAcentral